UACGUAGGGACCAAGCGUUGUUCGGAUUUACUGGGCGUAAAGGGCGCGUAGGCGGCAUUGUUAGUCACUUGUGAAAUCUCCGGGCUUAACUCGGAACGGCCAAGUGAUACUGCAGUGCUAGAGUGCGGUAGGGGCAAUCGGAAUUCUCGGUGUAGCGGUGAAAUGCGUAGAUAUCGAGAGGAACACCUGAGGUGAAGACGGGUUGCUGGGCCGACACUGACGCUGAGGCGCGAAAGCCAGGGGAGCAAAC
Molecule: ribosomal RNA, 250 nt
Filed under: uncultured bacterium
Lineage: Bacteria
Description: partial 16S ribosomal RNA
Rfam family: Bacterial small subunit ribosomal RNA
Source: RNAcentral